Molecule: long non-coding RNA, 408 nt
Organism: Cyprinus carpio carpio
Lineage: Eukaryota; Metazoa; Chordata; Actinopteri; Cypriniformes; Cyprinidae
Source: Ensembl
AUCAUCUUGACACCCAAGAAGCUCAUAAAGCGGCCUCACCUCAACACUUGGUUCAGCCCCCUUAACACCUUCUAAGUCAGUUGCUGCAUGUGGUGGUGUCAGGUGAGUGCCAUUAGUGGUCAGUGCCUGUUCAUCAGUGGUGGCAAGGAUUUACUUGACAUGAAGGCAUUAAUGCACCUACCUUAUAUAGGCCCGAUGACCUUGGUGAUGUGGAACAGUUCAUCAGCAGGAUGGAGACAGCCAACAGUUCAAACCUCUGUGUGUCUCGUUGUCACCGUUGAUGCAGCAGCUGCUGACUUCUAGCCUCAGUGCCACCUGGUCCCACAGUCCUGGAAUCUUUGGAUCAGCCUUAUUGUGUCGUGUGAAGCCGAUCCCAGAUGAGCCCCCAAGAAUCAGAAGAAAGAAAAC